This is a long non-coding RNA of Mus musculus (house mouse), 2620 nucleotides long. RefSeq annotates it as predicted gene, 32216. The record is from RefSeq and is a predicted model, not a curated record. NCBI's taxonomy places the organism in Eukaryota, Metazoa, Chordata, Mammalia, Rodentia, Muridae. The transcript has 3 exons.
CUUGGCACAUGAAGAUGUAUGAAGAGAGGGAUAUACUGUGAGCUGUACUAUGACACACUAUAGCUUCCACAACAAGAGAACUGAUUCAGUAUGCAUGGUGCUUGCCCAGGCCCAGGUGUCUGUGAUCGUGAGGCAGCGCCCACUGGAGUGGGUUCACGAGCCCUCUGUAUUGACAUUCCACGUGUGUUUACUGGGACUCAUCAUUCUUCCAGAAGAUGACCUUGCAGUUCAGACAGUGAAGCACAAUUGCAUUGCCACUUGAGUUUCCUGGUUUCCCGAUUUCUUCUGCAUUCCCUCCUUGGGGGAGGUCCCAAUAUGACUAGCCUGGGCCUAUUUGGUCCUUACCAGGAAUGUCUGAUACCAUCACACUGACCAAGAAGAUGUCCUGCUUCUUGCUGACAGAUCAUGGAUGGAGGAGGCAGAAGAGAUGCUACCCCUGACAACACAAGAUCUCCUGGAAGGACAUCCAUGUCCUGGUGGCUGCUGCACAGGUCACCUGACCUCCACAAGCUUUCCUCUCUCUUAUUCUUAUGGCGGUUUUUGUUGUUCUUCAUUCCAACUUUGCUACUGCCCAGCCUUUUUCUAACACUCCCAAUACCCACUACUGGAGAUUUCUUGCUAGGGAGACAUACUACAGACACAACAGAAUUAUAGGACAGCCCUUGUGAAGGAUGAUGGACUAGGAUUGAGAGUCCUCUAACUUGAUGAUUUUAUCUCCACUACCUCCAAUUCCUUCUUCUGUGUUCCUCAUGGCCUCUGACCAUGAGGCCUCCAUGUAUGGAGAUUUCAGUCAUUGUGGAUGCCAAAUUGAAUCCACUAGCCAUGGCAGCAUCACACUCACCAACCUUAAAACUCAUUUUCAGCUUUCCAUCAGCAAUCCCUGGGACAAAUGGGAGUCCUGCAUAUGCUCUACCUUCAUGAAUUGGCUAAAUACCCUGAAGUUGACUUUUUAUGUCUCUUGCCAGCUUGUUCCUGUCUCCACAUUGGUUCUUACCCAUGUAAACAUUCUUUGAUAGGAAAAUCAAAUUCAGAAGGAGGUCUAAGCCACUCUCCCCUGGCUGCAAUACAUCCAAUAUACAGCUGGCAUUCUUCCCCUAGCUACCCACUCCAACUCCUCUCAAUGCUUCUCCUACACUUUCUUCCCCCAGCGCUAUUGGCGGCUGUUCCCAUUAGCAUCUCACUUCAUGAACCUCAUGGAGCCUGAUCCACACAAGAGUUAUGAAACAUCCCUCUCCUCAAUCUACCUCUCCCCUUUGCCUUAUUGGACCCUCUUCAAAAACUCAUCCUACAUUUUCCGGUAAUAUCAUUGUCACUAAGCCAAUAUGUGUUAGUACCCUCUCCCUUCUCUGGUGCAAUAGCCCUAACAAUUCCUGCAUUAAACUCCCUUUUCCAGAUUCCCCUGGUUUUAGGCUGAAGAAACUACCUCGAUUCACAGCUGGUAGGAGACAGAAAAAAGAGGUGAGAUCUUCAUCUCUUUACUGUAGACUAGCCAACAGCAUCCAGAACAAGUUUGAGCAAGCAAUGGCUUCUACUAUGGACAAUCCUGAGAUUCUCCAAUGACAGAUCACAUCCCUAGUGGGGUUGUCCUUCAAAGUUGGAGAGCUCUGGGCUUAAUGACUGUGAAAUGGAGGGAUUUUCAUUUUGUUAAGGGAGGAAUGUUGUUUUUAUGUCUGUGAAUCUGGGCUGUCAAAACAGGACAUAGAAAUGCUCAAAGAUCUAAAGCGAGAUCUCUGAGCAUGCUAAAUGCCCAGCCUCCUACCCUGUGGUACUCAAACCCUCCCAUGCUUGGCUUCACCCCUUCUUGGCUCUGUACUGGCCAUUGGAGCCAUACUCCUCCUGACAUCCUGCCUCAUCCAGUUUCUAAAACGGCAGAUGAGGCAGAUGAAUAGCAUUGCAAAUCUCACUGCCAAUUGUGUUCUGGUUCAAUACCAGUCCAUUCCCAAUAUAGAGGCUAUGGACUAUGAUUACAUCUCCCAUUUAUAGAACAAAAACGGAAUGACGUAGGGCAAGUGCAACUGGGGAAUGGUCCAGGAACAACAGUGAUAUCGAGAAGCAUCCAAACCCUGAAAAUCUUGUCUUCAGUAGAGACUGUUCCCUCUCUAGGCUCAGACUGCAUGUCCUGGUAUUGUUGGCCAAAUUAUAAAUUUAAGCACUGCUAUCCCUUUUUAUGCAAAUAAAACAUUCUCAGCCUCUUGGCCCAGGCCAAUAAUGUACACUCACCUCAAAAAACCACUCCCCAAUAAAGAAAGACACUGUUUUAUGGAAAGCCAAGAGAGCUGUUUCAUUGACUAUCAUCUAGAAGAGCUAUUUUGCUUUCCCACAUAAAGAAAAGCUGUACCACUAAAACCACCUUGAAGAAGUGCUCCUCACCCCCACUCUGCCUUUGCUGAACAUCUGGUGAACUUAUCCACCCAGGCAAACUUUGUUCCCUUCAUUCUGUCCCUGACCAGUGCCCGACUCCUAAAAGGCAGAAGCAGAGCCGGAUUCUAAUAGGCAGAGAGCAAAAGCAUUCUUCUUCCAUGUUCUUCAUAUAGACAGCUGUCAGGAGGUGUGGCCCAGACUGAGGUGGAUCAUUCUACCGCAAAAGGUCUUGAUUAAAUGUGGGUUUUCCAACUUCAGA